Molecule: ribosomal RNA, 438 nt
Filed under: Turritella exoleta
Lineage: Eukaryota; Metazoa; Mollusca; Gastropoda; Turritellidae
Description: partial 12S small subunit ribosomal RNA
Rfam family: Microsporidia small subunit ribosomal RNA
Source: RNAcentral
UAAAGCUUCAAACUGGGAUUAGAUACCCCACUAUUCUUAGGUAUAAAUAGGUUUUAACCUACCAGAGAACUACGAACUAUUAACUUAAAACUCAAAGAACUUGGCGGUGCCUCUAGACCCCUCAGGGGAACCUGUUUCAUAAUCGACAAUCCGCGCCAAACCUCACCUUUUUUAGAUAUUCAGUAUGUAUACCGUCGUCGUCAGGUAACUUUUCAGAAUACAGAAGUUAGCGAAAAAGAGUCAUUAUCUUUUACGUCAGAUCAAGGUGCAGCCAAUAAAAAGGAGAAAAUGGGUUACAAUUAAUAAUUAUAACUACGGAAAAGACAAUGAAAUUUUCUUUAAUGAAGGAGGACUUGAAAGUAAAUUAAUUCUAUAAAAACUGCUUGAAUCAUAAGGCUCUGAGGCGUGCACACACCGCCCGUCACCCUCUGCAGUCAA